CGCGCCUUUUACCAGGCACCGCGCGAAUGGGGCGGCGAUGCCGCGCUGCUGGUGCUCAUUGACGUUGAUGAGCGGGAGGUGCCGCACCUCUGAGGCGCGG
This 100-nucleotide transfer RNA is filed under the name Edwardsiella ictaluri. RNAcentral describes it as "tRNA-???(gc)". Lineage: Bacteria; Pseudomonadati; Pseudomonadota; Gammaproteobacteria; Enterobacterales; Hafniaceae. The record is from RNAcentral.